GUUACACAAGGGGUACCAAAGUCCACUCUGAGCUUUUCCUCUGGGAACAGAUCCCAGAUUAUUCCAGACUUAAGACAUGGAGAUAUAUCUUGCUAGAGGUAGGAAGAUGAUAAGAUCAGUUUCUAUAGGUAGAGGAUAAUGUGUCCUAAAAUGUAGGUAGAGAUAAGUCUGACAGUGGUUUAGACAAAAAGGGCCUCUGCUAAUGGUGGAGAGAUCAAGGAAGAAAAGAGCAACGUUAAAGUGAGGCUGUACCCACAGAUCAUGCUCAAGCAAAUUCGAACCGUGAGCGCAUUUCUCUUAAACAAUGAACACUUAGAAUAAAAAUUAAAAUUUCCCACAAAUUUCUAAUUUUAAAAUAGUUUCCCAAGAUUUCAGUGGUAUUGUAUAUAUGCCCAUAUAAUUUUUUGGAUUACUAUUCCCACAAGUGUAAGAUGAAAGAGGACCUGCCCUCCAUUCUAUCUACUCCCUCUCUGCAAAGGCCAUUUUGAAGAUCUCAGUUUUACUGAAAGGGGUCUGCCACACAUAACUUCCCUGGUGUACCAGCAACAAGUGUUCAGUGGACCAUGGCAACACAAAGAAUGACGGAGGAGAGAAAAUGCCAUGCAGAAGUGAUAGUCAAGAUGAAGAUGUGGGAGAGGAGCAGCCCCCAGUAUAUAUUCAGUGUGUCCUCUGAAGUAACAACCAUCCCAUCUGGCUGAGAAGUGAUGGACACGGCUCCUUAACCACACUGUACCCUCUGUUCUUGGCACCUCUCUACCAGAAAGAUAUCAACAAAUUGGAUGGAAUUCAGAGAACAUGACUUCCUAUUAUCCUUCUCAAAGUUAUUGCUGCAGAGGAAAGAAGCAUACAUCUUUUACCCACCAGGAAACCCCCAAAGCAUCUAUUACCAUAAUAGCCAUGGGAAACAGAAGGCACCUCAAAUAAAGGUGGGGAAAAGAAUGAAAGAAAUGGCUUUGGCCUGUGCCUGUUUGACCUCUGAGAGAUACUUUUUGCAAGAAAUUGUUAAGUUUUGGCCCAAAAAGUGGUCGGUCUUUUAUCCUUCCUUGUGGAGGCCAAACUGCAAACCAGGAUGAAGAAACCAUCAGUGGCAGUUUGGGGAGGUGGAGGAGGGACUAUCUAGACUCAGUGAAUCACCAAGGAAACAUGAGGCCUAUUUCUCUGUGAAGCUGAACUUCAAAAAACAAUCUAAGAGAUACAAAGGGAAAAGUGUGACUGCUCUGACAGCAAAAACAAGCAAAUAUCUCCAGAGGGGAUUAAUCCUUCUGCUUCAAAGUAACUAAAACAAAGAAAGCUGAGCCAGCUUCACUGGAAACAACACCUGUCCAUCAGACAAGGAUGAGCUAAUCAAAAGAAAACACUGCCUAUGUGCACGACUCAGCAGCCUGGACAGCUAAUACCAAGGAACACGUUUUCACUAUAAAGAUUCAGCUUUCAAAAUCCAGUUCCCUCUUGUAGAGCCACAGGGUUAAAAGGGACCUUAGAGAUCAUCUACAUACAGGCCAAACCCUCAAUGAAUGCCAGUGUUCGCCUUAUGUUCUUCUUGCCGGACUCUUUUCUGGCCUCUGUUCUGUCAGGAUGUUUCCUGUUUUGCAAAACAGCUUUAAUCCUUGAGUAUAUUUAAUUGUUAGAAAACAGUUCCUCAAAUUUGACCCCAAAUUUAAGUCUAAUUUAUGAAGAAAGUUUUGCCUUUGGAGACAGGUUUAAUUUUACUUCCAUGUGGAAAACCUUCAAAUAAAAUGAUGACUAUUGUGUACUCA
This 1757-nucleotide long non-coding RNA is filed under the name Homo sapiens (human). RNAcentral describes it as "tumor suppressor candidate 7, transcript variant 2 (TUSC7)". The stretch from base 1181 to 1345 matches the Rfam family "Non-coding RNA LOC285194". Lineage: Eukaryota; Metazoa; Chordata; Mammalia; Primates; Hominidae. The record is from RNAcentral.